UACAGAGGGUGCUAGCGUUGUUCGGAAUCAUUGGGCGUAAAGGGCGUGUAGGCGGUUUGUUAAGUCAUGUGUGAAAGCCCCCGGCUCAACCGGGGAACGACGCAUGAAACUGGCAAGCUAGAGUACCGAAGAGGGGGGUGGAAUUCCCGGUGUAGCGGUGAAAUGCGUAGAUAUCUGGAGGAAUACCGGUGGCGAAGGCGGCAUCCUGGACCGGCAUUGACGCUGAGGAGCGAAAGCCAGGGGAGCAAACGGG
RNAcentral lists this ribosomal RNA (253 nucleotides) under uncultured bacterium. RNAcentral describes it as "partial 16S ribosomal RNA". It matches the Rfam family "Bacterial small subunit ribosomal RNA", at positions 524 to 776 of the family's 1533-position model. The record is from RNAcentral.